Molecule: ribosomal RNA, 612 nt
Filed under: Curvibasidium cygneicollum
Lineage: Eukaryota; Fungi; Basidiomycota; Microbotryomycetes
Description: eukaryotic LSU rRNA
Rfam family: 5.8S ribosomal RNA (bases 178-331)
Source: RNAcentral
UCCGUAGGUGAACCUGCGGAAGGAUCAUUAGUGAAUUUAGAGCGUAACUUCGGUUAGCUCAACCUUCAUUUUCCAACUCUGUGCACUAUUGGGGGACUGGGAGCAAGUAAUUGCUAUUCAGUCUGCGGGUCACUAUUAAACAUUAGUUAAAGUAUGUAUAUAAAAACAAAACAAAAAAACUUUCAACAACGGAUCUCUUGGGUCUCGCAUCGAUGAAGAACGCAGCGAAAUGUGAUAAGUAAUGUGAAUUGCAGAAUUCAGUGAAUCAUCGAAUCUUUGAACGCACCUUGCGCUCUCUGGUAUUCCGGAGAGCAUGUCUGUUUGAGUGUCAUGAACUCUUCAACCUACCGAUUUCUAGUAAAUCGGAUUAGUGUUUGGAUUUUGAACGCUUGCUGGGCUUUAUUGGGGAAGCUCGUUCGUAAAUGAUUAGCAUCUCAUAUUCGAAAAUCGGAUUGACUCAGUGUAAUAGACUAUUCGCUGAGGACGCUCUUUCGGGAGUGGGCGAGUUUUGUAAAGUAGAAGCUUCUAAUUCUAUUAGUCAACUUUAGAUUAGACCUCAGAUCAGGGAGGAUUACCCGCUGAACUUAAGCAUAUCAAUAAGCGGAGGAAAAG